RNAcentral lists this ribosomal RNA (519 nucleotides) under uncultured bacterium. Its description in RNAcentral is "bacterial SSU rRNA". It matches the Rfam family "Bacterial small subunit ribosomal RNA", at positions 8 to 518 of the family's 1533-position model. The record is from RNAcentral.
AGAGUUUGAUCCUGGCUCAGGAUGAACGCUAGCUACAGGCUUAACACAUGCAAGUCGAGGGGCAGCAUUGGAGUAGCAAUACUUCAGAUGGCGACCGGCGCACGGGUGAGUAACACGUAUCCAACCUGCCGCUUACUCGGGGAUAGCCUUUCGAAAGAAAGAUUAAUACCCGAUGGUAUAAAGAGUUCGCAUGUUCUCUUUAUUAAAGAAUUUCGGUAAGCGAUGGGGAUGCGUUCCAUUAGAUAGUUGGCGGGGUAACGGCCCACCAGGUCUACGAUGGAUAGGGGUUCUGAGAGGAAGGUCCCCCACAUUGGAACUGAGACACGGUCCAAACUCCUACGGGAGGCAGCAGUGAGGAAUAUUGGUCAAUGGACGAGAGUCUGAACCAGCCAAAGUAGCGUGAAGGAUGACUGCCCUAUGGGUUGUAAACUUCUUUUAUAAGGGAAUAAAGUGAGGGACGUGUCCCUUUUUGUAUGUACCUUAUGAAUAAGGAUCGGCUAACUCCGUGCCAGCCGCCGC